AUGGCGAAUCAUGGCGAUCCAGCGGCUUCGGGAUCAAAAGGAAAGGGCAAGCUGGAGGGGCUGAUGAAAGAGCUGGCCCUGAAGGAAGAUGACCUCGGUGACGUCGUUUUUGAGGAAGAUGACGCCCCAGCGGAGGAGGAACUCCGUUGGAUGAUCUUGGCUAGGGUACACAUAGACAAAGGGUUUAGUACCUACUGGUUCUUACGCAACAUGAGGACAGCGUGGGACCUCGCUAGGCCGGUGAAAAUCAAAACCCUAGAGGAUAACCUCUUCCAAAUGCAAUUCAACUGCCUGGGUGAUUGGGAGAGAGUUACCCAAGGGGGGCCGUGGCACUUCCAAGGAAACCCGGUCCGCAUCAUCGAUCUUCCUACCGGCUUCCAUGGGAAAGUAAAGGCUCUUGCUGCCAAGAAUGGCGAGUUUGUGGAUUCAGAGCCAUCUUCUUUUGACUUUGAAGGAAACUUCUACAGAGUUAUGGUCCGCCUUGAUGUGAGAAACCGUCUCAAGAAAGUGAUCUCGGUGAUCCGUGGAGGAGAGAGGGUGAUCUUCGCGGUAAAGUAUGAGCGUCUACCUGACUGGUGCCAGGUCUGCGGCAUGAUGGGUCACGAGUUCAAGGAGCAUGGGGACGGACUCCACCCCCCUCAACGCUAA
This 648-nucleotide ribosomal RNA is filed under the name Triticum aestivum (bread wheat). RNAcentral's name for it is "partial small subunit ribosomal RNA". Lineage: Eukaryota; Viridiplantae; Streptophyta; Magnoliopsida; Poales; Poaceae. The record is from RNAcentral.